GAUGAACGCUGGCGGCGUGCCUAAUACAUGCAAGUCGAGCGAACAGACGAGGAGCUUGCUCCUCUGACGUUAGCGGCGGACGGGUGAGUAAAACGUGGAUAACCUACCUAUAAGACUGGGAUAACUUCGGGAAACCGGAGCUAAUACCGGAUAAUAUAUUGAACCGCAUGGUUCAAUAGUGAAAGACGGUUUUGCUGUCACUUAUAGAUGGAUCCGCGCCGCAUUAGCUAGUUGGUAAGGUAACGGCUUACCAAGGCAACGAUGCGUAGCCGACCUGAGAGGGUGAUCGACCACUCUGAAACUGAGACACGGUCCAGACUCCUACGCGAGGCAGCAGUAGGGAAUCUUCCGCAAUGGGCGAAAGCCUGACGGAGCAACGCCGCGUGAGUGAUGAAGGUCUUCGGAUCGUAAAACUCUGUUAUUAGGGAAGAACAAAUGUGUAAGUAACUAUGCACGUCUUGACGGUACCUAAUCAGAAAGCCACGGCUAACUACGUG
This 497-nucleotide ribosomal RNA is filed under the name uncultured bacterium. RNAcentral's name for it is "partial 16S ribosomal RNA". It matches the Rfam family "Bacterial small subunit ribosomal RNA", at positions 28 to 507 of the family's 1533-position model. The record is from RNAcentral.